This 266-nucleotide ribosomal RNA is filed under the name Smaug giganteus. RNAcentral describes it as "partial 16S large subunit ribosomal RNA". The record is from RNAcentral. Lineage: Eukaryota; Metazoa; Chordata; Lepidosauria; Squamata; Cordylidae.
ACCAAAACCAAGCCCAAUCAACUCACCAAACCUAUUACACCAAUAAAACAAACCAUUUGACUAAAAAAGUAUUUGAGAAAGAACCUUGAAACCGGCGCAACCCCACCGCAAGGGACAACUGAAAGAAAAAUGAAACACUUAAGUAUAACAAAGCAAAGAUUAACCCUUGUUCCUCUCGCAUCAUGAUUUAGCAAGCAGCCCCAGACAAAGAGACCUGCAGCCCGACUACCCGAAACUACGUGAGUACUUCCGGGCAAUACCCRAUC